GCGGCGGGUAGGAUCGGGAGCUAGCCCUGCCCCUUUGCCUCAGUACGGGCUACAGAGGGGUCAGUAACCCUUCGGGUGGCCGGGUUUGGCCUGGGGGUUAGACGCGUCGUGCUCCGUGGAUGCCCUGCCCCGUGGGGUCGGCGGUUGCGCCUGCGCCCUCGUAGGGGGGCGUGGUGCGCUGUAGUCGGGUGAAUCUGGCCAGGCCCGGGAGGGAGCGACCUAAGCUCGGACGUUGGAUGCUCGCGGGAUCCGGGGCGGAGGGGGACGGCGUGACCCUGCCUCCGGGCCUGCUUGGGAUCCCUGGGGGGCCGUCGC
RNAcentral lists this signal recognition particle RNA (315 nucleotides) under Candidatus Bathyarchaeota archaeon. Its description in RNAcentral is "signal recognition particle sRNA". It matches the Rfam family "Archaeal signal recognition particle RNA". The record is from RNAcentral. Lineage: Archaea; Thermoproteati; Candidatus Bathyarchaeota.